Molecule: ribosomal RNA, 407 nt
Filed under: uncultured microorganism
Description: bacterial SSU rRNA
Rfam family: Bacterial small subunit ribosomal RNA
Source: RNAcentral
CAGCCGCCGCGGUAAUACGUAGGGGGCGAGCGUUACCCGGAUUCACUGGGCGUAAAGCGGGUGUAGGCGGCUCGGUAAGUCGGGUGUGAAAUCCCACAGCUCAACUGUGGAAUUGCGCCCGAAACUGCUGAGCUUGGGGCCGGUAGAGGGAGACGGAACUGCCGGUGUAGGGGUGAAAUCCGUAGAUAUCGGCAGGAACGCCGGUGGGGAAGCCGGUCUCCUGGGCCGCGCCCGACGCUGAGACCCGAAAGCUAGGGGAGAAAACCGGAUUAGAUACCCGGGUAGUCCUAGCCGUAAACGAUGCCCACUAGGUGUGGGGGAUUAAUUCCUCCGUGCUGUAGCUAACGCGUUAAGUGGGCCGCCUGGGGAGUACGCCCGCAAGGGUGAAACUUAAAGGAAUUGGCGGG